GAAUAAAGGGGUGAAUUGAGGAGUAACCCUUCUUUCCUCCUGCUCUCUCACCUGAGAAGAUAGCACUGGAUGUUCCCAGCAGCCUCGCAAAGUUCAUGGGUUUAUGGAAACCUCUGCACUACCGCAUGUUUUUGUACAGAACAGGAGGGAACACAGACGACGGGAGAAUAGAAGGCUCCUGGUCUGCAAGGAGCAAUGUUUAGAGGAUGUGUCCUAGGCCAGGACCCAAAUGCAUGGCAAUAGUUUGCUGAGGCUCUGCUAGCAAACCUGGGAAUGACUGUGAUGCCCCCUAUGCCACUCUGGAUGACAGAAGAUUUAUGCCUUGGCCACUCACAGACAGCUGCUUAAAGUGCUGCAGGUCCAAGCAGAAAGCUACACCUUUAAGGUGGGAAGUUGACAUCCAGUUACCAAAGCAAGAGACUCAGCUCUUUUCUUGGCCAGUUCAGUGUCAGAUUUUUUGGAGUCCUGAAGAAUAUAACUGCUGGGCAAAAGAAGAUAUGUCUCCCCUGCAUCUCAGCAUUCCUGAGGGUUCAGUAAAUCACCAGCAAGGCACACUCUGCCAGCACUGGAGUGUCACCAGAGCAGGUGAGAAUUAUCCCAGACAGAAAGCAGUGGCUGCAAAGGAAGUGC
This is a non-coding RNA of Phalacrocorax carbo (great cormorant), 630 nucleotides long. The record is from RefSeq and is a predicted model, not a curated record. NCBI's taxonomy places the organism in Eukaryota, Metazoa, Chordata, Aves, Suliformes, Phalacrocoracidae.